Mytilus californianus (California mussel) is the source of this 430-nucleotide long non-coding RNA. RefSeq lists it as uncharacterized. The record is from RefSeq and is a predicted model, not a curated record. The transcript has 4 exons. NCBI's taxonomy places the organism in Eukaryota, Metazoa, Mollusca, Bivalvia, Mytilida, Mytilidae.
UAAAACGUAUAAUACACUUUUUCAUUUCAUGAUGAUGGUGUACUAUAACUUUUUGAUAAUUCUUCUAUUUUUACUAAGUGGUGGUCUGGCGGAUAACGCUUUUACUACUGACAUACCCAGUACAUCACCACCACCACCACCUCACGUUAAAGAUUCUCUGAAUACCAAACACACAUGGCUAAUUGCUGGUAUCAUUUUUGCACUUUUAUUCAUUGCUGGUGUGAUCACACGUGUAGUUUUGAUUGUAAGGAGAAGGCGAGGCGGGUAGCAUUGAGGAAUGUGACAACAUCUUCUACAGGAUAGAGAAUAGUCUUUAUUUGAAAUCUAAAAGAUAAAUACUUUUGUAACAUUUCAAAAUUACAACAAGUAUUGAUAUUUUAUUGUUUAACAUUUUUAUGAUCAUGAUAUAUCAUUAUGAUACUAUACAAAU